GACGAACCGUGCGAACGUUGUUCGGAAUCACUGGGCUUAAAGGGCGCGUAGGCGGGCCGCGAAGUCCGGGGUGAAAGCCCCCAGCUCAACUGGGGAAGUGCCUCGGAAACCAGCGGUCUUGAGGGAGCUAGGGGCCUGUGGAACUUCGGGUGGAGCGGUGAAAUGCGUUGAUAUCCGAAGGAACGCCGGUGGCGAAAGCGGCAGGCUGGAUCUCCUCUGACGCUGAGGCGCGAAAGCCAGGGUAGCGAACGGG
This 253-nucleotide ribosomal RNA is filed under the name uncultured bacterium. RNAcentral describes it as "partial 16S ribosomal RNA". It matches the Rfam family "Bacterial small subunit ribosomal RNA", at positions 524 to 776 of the family's 1533-position model. The record is from RNAcentral.